AAGCCAAAAUAAGUAGAACUGUGGAGCGAUACACACUAAAUAAGCCUACGGGGCUGCCAUUUGGAGAAGAGCACACCACUUCCUGAGAGUAUGUGAGCAUUCAAUGAGGAAGAAAGAGGAAAACCAACGAUGCUCCUUUAUCCUUUGGUGGUUCACAUCAUUUCCUCAGUGAUCAUCGUUCUGUUCCCCUUCAGUUUUAGAUCUGUUUGGUCAGCCACCGUCCAAAAAUAUUCAUUGGAAAGUUCCAGAAAUAAAUAGACCGUACGUUUUGAAUUGCAGCGGCCUGCCCUGUCGUUCUAAAGAUGUGAACGCUCCCCUGUUCUGAGUCAUACGCGCUGGCUUAUUUGGAUAUUGGACACUCAACUACUGGAUGGAAAGAUUUCAUCAUCAGUGAAAUAAAUGGUCUUUGACCAAGUCAAAAUGUCUAACAAUUAAUGGGAAAAUCUGCUUGAAAUCUGUCAUGUGAGUUCAAUUUUAAAUUGCCACUUUCUGAAAAAGCCUGCAUCUGAAAGCUAAAGAUUCCGGCUACACAGGGGAAAAUGAUGUUAUUUAAAAUUCAGUUGCCAGUCAAAACGCUAAGUACUCUGCACUAUUAUUCUGGUACUGACAUGCAAGCCGUGUAAUCACCUGCCUCGUUGUUAGGCGCAACAUAGCUACACACGCGUGGUUGCUUUGCUCUCAACUCGCUGGGUCAUCAUAAGCUGUUAUCAGAGGAUUCGUGAAAGAACUGAGUGCAGAAUGGACGCAUCACCUAAGGAGCAAAAGAAGAGAAAUGCGUUUCCACACGACAUGAAGACUCUCUUGCUUUGUGUGGUACACAGAACACACUUGCUUAGAAAAGCAGGUUCUUUCAGUUUGCCCGAGCUCAAAACGAUUUUAAUAUGUAAAAUGCUAUCAGAGCUCGAAUCCAUUCUCUGACCUGAAUGUCACAAUACCCUACUGUUUAUCUCAGCUAAAAGCCUGAGAAAGAUGGAAAGGAUUAGACUAUUUUCCAUACAUUGUAGUAAAUUUCUCUUGCAAAGAAUAUGAAAGACAAGUCCUGACCUUCUUUGACAUAAAAAUAAAAAAGAUUCAUGCCACCAGCUAAGAUGAAAACAUUGAGUAGCUCAACAUUUGGAAGAAGAGAAUCAAGUAGAACAAUAUUUUCUGUGGGUGAGAAAAGUGGCUCCUAGCCCGUGGGAGUGUCAUUUUUCCAUAGCUUGCUUGACUUGCUGAACUUCUUUAUGGGUAAAAAAUAUUGUGAACAGUAACCUCUCAUCUGUUUUGGUUUUGUUUGCUUGUUUCAUACAAACUAGUGGACUAUUUCAUGUGUUUACAUUUCAUUUGUCAACAAAUAUUAACUGAA
Long non-coding RNA from Perognathus longimembris pacificus (Pacific pocket mouse), 1345 nucleotides. RefSeq lists it as uncharacterized. Lineage: Eukaryota; Metazoa; Chordata; Mammalia; Rodentia; Heteromyidae. The record is from RefSeq and is a predicted model, not a curated record. The transcript is spliced from 3 exons.